Molecule: non-coding RNA, 2450 nt
Organism: Solanum lycopersicum (tomato)
Lineage: Eukaryota; Viridiplantae; Streptophyta; Magnoliopsida; Solanales; Solanaceae
Source: RefSeq, a predicted model, not a curated record
UCUUGUUUUUGUACUGAAAAUGCAUUGCAACUUGCAAGUUUCAAAAUCUCUCUCCCUCUCUUUCUCCCUGCGAAAUCAAAUGAACGACGGCGCAGUGCGGCAGUCUGCCGGAGGACAGCUCAAAAUCUCGAAAUCGACGUACGGGAUAUUCAACCACAGUGACCGAUCGAUCACCUUUUGGGAUAAGACGGUUCGUUCCUGAGAGUAGUGUUCAUGCACGGAGGUCCUGUGCUCGAUUGUUGCUUCCACGACGUUUUUCAGUGAGGUCUGUAGUUAUGAUGUUGGUGUUUUCUAUUUUACCUUGUGUUAAUUGGAUACAGUGCAUUGUUGAAUCAUCCUGAUUAGGUGAAUUAGUGAAUGCUUAUUCUAUUGCUUUUCUCUAGGAUCUGAUCUCAGUUUGGGGAAACUGCGAUAAUGUUUAUUCAGUUUCAGUGAUUUGGUUGAGAAAUAGUCAUCAUAACCAUCCAUGUCAUAUCGUUAUUUCUGAUUGAUGCAUAGUAUGUUAUUGUUUCAACACUAUCAGUUAUAAUAACAUUCUCGCUGGAAAAUUUGCCCCCCUGCAACGACGGAAGAGAGGAUAUAUUGGGAGACAUGAUCAUGCACCUGUUCGCUGUGUUGAAUACUCAUAUGCAACUGGUCAGUGUAAAUAUUUAUGGCAUUAAAAUUUUUUGAUUCUGGUCUAAGAUAUGAGCUAGUGGUAUAUUCGUUUGAAAUAUAAGGAGAUUCAAAGAAGCAGAUAAAAAAUAUUCUUAUGCAUUUCAGCUUUUAAGUAAGUUUUGGUGAACAUUGCAUCUUUUCGCUAUUCAACUCUUAUAUUUCUGAUUCUGUUCAAUAUGUUCCCCAUUGUUAAGCUACCAAAAAUGAUUAGUGAUAUGUUAUCUACUUUACUUUAGCAAUUAGUUACUCGGAUUUUAUUUUUGGCUUGUUGAGCUUUAACGAAAGCCAAGGUUAAACAUUCCAAAAGAGGAUUGUAUGUGAAACAUAUUGGUGGCUUUAUAGAAGUUUCUGCAUCGGAAAUUCAAUCACAUCAGUCCCGACUCAAUUUUAGCAUGGCUGGUUAAAGAAGGUGCAUGUUCACCUGUCUUUCCUUUUUGUAAAUGGAUCACCAAACUCUUCAAAAUAUUGUUAGUCAUUGAUUUUCCUCUUCAAAAUUGGUCCAACCUAUGUAUUUUAGUCGUUGAUGAUUAUGUGAGCCCUAUGAUAUGUUGAUUAGAAAUCUCAACAAUGGCAUUCUAUUAUUUCAGCUUAGAGUCGGUAUGUUUUGAAAGUUAGCUCCAGUACAAUUAUGUGAUUUUCUUGAAUGGAAUAAGGCAAGUGAUAACUAGUAGCUGGGAUGAAACCUUGAAAUGCUGGGAUCCUAGAGGUGCAAGUUAUCAGGAACAUACUCGUGUUGGAACUUAUACACAACCAGCUCCCUUGUUGGAACUGUUUAGCAGUAGCAAUUGUUGGAUGACAUGUGAAUGUUUAUGGCUUGCAAAACAUGUCUCGUUUCCAACAGAGGGAAUCUUCCUUGACGUAUGAAACUAGAUGUGUCCGGUGCUAUUCCAAUGUAACAGGUUUAUUUCUUAUCUCUACUUGCUGCUUCAUUCUACUGUUCUAGAGCUUAAUUUAAUGACUCAAUAUUGGACUUUCGGUUGCAAGGUUUCUGCUUCUUACUAUCUUUCAGCUAGUUUAUGUUCACUCUAAUGAUUGACACCAUAUUAGGGUCCGUUUUUUUAGCAUGUUUGACUCAAAACAACUACUAGUUGUAUCAAAUAUAUAUCCUCCUGGAGUCUCAGUAGUCCAAACAAAUUUACGAGUACAGUUCUCUUAGGUUUGAACUACAAAUCACCCAUCUAUACUUGCAGUUUUGUAAUAUCCCGUAGUUUCUGUAAAUGAGCUAAUUUGAUUCAAUAAUUAAAGAGUCGUCCAUCGUAAAUUUGGAAUUCACCAUAAAAGCCACAUUUACAUCACCAUCUUUAUGCAAAAACUUAAUGACACACAAAUAUUCUCUCAAAUCUUUCAUGACGAAUAUUAUUGAAUAUUUGGAACAUAUCUAAUGUCACUUUUGUUGUAAAUUGUAGGCGUAAAGUAAAAUUUACUUAUGGAAAUAGAAUGUAAGAGCUUCAACCCAUCAUUAGGUUUGGAUUAGCACUUGUGCUUUCAUCAAUUUUCUGAUUCCCUUUAUGCAUUGCUUGGCUGUUUUAUACAUGGAAUUUGUAGGCGUUCGAUUGAAGGUCAGGUUGCAAUGGAAAAUAUUUUGAUUUCUCUGAGGCCAGUCAGUCUAAGAAAUAUGUAAAUUUGCAUAUUCUGCUUGACACAAUCUUAAAAACUAAAAUUGAAGAAAAUAAAACUGUAGGUGUUAAUGACAUUUUUUUUGUCUCCAUUGUCGAACAGAAUAAAUUGUUGAAGAGUAGUUUAAGUCAGUGUAGAAGAUAUCUAUACAAUAAAGAGUAAGUGCUUUUUCAAGA